GACGAACGCUGGCGGCGUGCCUAAUACAUGCAAGUUGAGCGCUGAAGGUUGGUACUUGUACCAACUGGAUGAGCAGCGAACGGGUGAGUAACGCGUGGGGAAUCUGCCUUUGAGCGGGGGACAACAUUUGGAAACGAAUGCUAAUACCGCAUAAAAACUUUAAACACAAGUUUUAAGUUUGAAAGAUGCAAUUGCAUCACUCAAAGAUGAUCCCGCGUUGUAUUAGCUAGUUGGUGAGGUAAAGGCUCACCAAGGCGAUGAUACAUAGCCGACCUGAGAGGGUGAUCGGCCACAUUGGGACUGAGACACGGCCCAAACUCCUACGGGAGGCAGCAGUAGGGAAUCUUCGGCAAUGGACGAAAGUCUGACCGAGCAACGCCGCGUGAGUGAAGAAGGUUUUCGGAUUGUAAAACUCGGUUGGUAGAGAAGAACGGUGGUGAGAGUGGAAAGCUCAUCAAGUGACGGUAACUACCCAGAAAGGGACGGCUAACUACGUG
This 497-nucleotide ribosomal RNA is filed under the name uncultured bacterium. Its description in RNAcentral is "partial 16S ribosomal RNA". It matches the Rfam family "Bacterial small subunit ribosomal RNA", at positions 28 to 507 of the family's 1533-position model. The record is from RNAcentral.